RNAcentral lists this ribosomal RNA (248 nucleotides) under uncultured bacterium. RNAcentral's name for it is "partial 16S ribosomal RNA". It matches the Rfam family "Bacterial small subunit ribosomal RNA", at positions 796 to 1041 of the family's 1533-position model. The record is from RNAcentral.
CACGCCGUAAACGAUGGGUACUAGGUGUCUGGGGGAGCGACCCCCUGGGUGCCGGCGCUAACGCAUGAAGUACCCCGCCUGGGGAGUACGGCCGCAAGGCUGAAACUCAAAGGAAUUGACGGGGGCCCGCACAAGCGGUGGAGCAUGUGGUUUAAUUCGACGCAACGCGAAGAACCUUACCUAGGCUUGACAUGCUGGAGAAAGCUCGCAGAAACGUGAGCCCCUCUUCGGAGUUCCAGCACAGAUGC